Molecule: long non-coding RNA, 2441 nt
Organism: Agrilus planipennis (emerald ash borer)
Lineage: Eukaryota; Metazoa; Arthropoda; Insecta; Coleoptera; Buprestidae
Exons: 3
Source: RefSeq, a predicted model, not a curated record
AUGAGUCCCCUCUUCCAUAGCCAAACCCAAUAGUUUUGCAAAGACAAAUAAUCGGGCACUGUACGGCAAACAGGGAUUCCGCAAAAAACGGAAACAUCUUGGGGUAGUAGAGUCGGUAGAUCCUGAGUCCACCUAACUAGAAGUUCUUUGAACAAGGUCCACACAAAAAUUUAAGAAUAUAUUAAAACAAAACAUAAAACGUCAGAAUGCAGGACAGAUUACAACAUAUUUCUAAAAAAUAACAAUAACCCUCAACACAAGGUAUAAGUACACAGUAAUUGUCGUUUUUUUUAUUAUCAAUGAAACGCACUUAACUGACAAAACAAUUUUAUUUUCUCAUUAACAACAAGAAUAUGCGUCAAAUGUACAUUGUUGUUUGUUCUGGAUUCUAUUAAAGGUCGCAAUAUUAGCGUUAUUUUAGUUUUAAGCUAAAACAACACCUAAAAACGACAUUUAGGUGGCUUGUGAAAACUGUAAUAUUUAUAUUGUUAUAUAAAGACGCUAACCAGUGCACAAAUGAAUUAUUCAAGACUCCAGUCCCGAGUCUCCCAACUUAAUGCCAAUCGAAUUCGCACUACUUCCCUUUCGGUGGUCACAGAUCUCCGAAUACCUCCCACAGAUCUUCAUGGUAGUGGCCACCGGCUCGAUGUGCGAAACCAGUGCCUGCUUGCGCUGGUGGCGCUUGUGUAUUUUCUUAAUUUUUUUCUUGUUCAUUUCUUUUAAAAGACUGUACUCUGGAUCUGCUGUUUGUGAGUAUGCCACCUGGUAGUGUUUUCUAACACUAAACGCACCAGUUCCCCCUUUCCCUUAUUGUGGUAUAUGGACUCUUGGCAAUCACUGACUGUAAUAGUGACUAAUGUACGUGAAGCAUCAUGUGAUCUAAUUCAAGUCGAAUCUAUAUAGAUUACAGUUAUGGAAGACGUCUCACCUGUGUUAUUAAGGUUAUGACAGUUUAUUUUCAGUAAUAAUAAAUGUAUGUGUACCGAAGAGUAUUUAAUUAACAUUUUAAAAAAGAAGAUAUCAUACGAAGCCUAACAACUCAUAUUGUAGUAUCCAUAAACCACAAAUUUAAAAACAAAACAAGAGGGUAUCAAAUCGAACAUAUUGCUCCCUCUAACGUCAAAUAGGCAAAACUGAUGGUAGGUUCAAAUUCAAACGUAAUUGUACGCAGCCGCGACAUUACAGUUCUCUUGUGCUGAUUUCGGUUUUUUGCGAUGAGUGCAAGAGAUAAAAAUUGGGAAAACGGCGUGAUAGAAAAAAAAUUAUUACUUUGGACUACAGUGUUUUGAAGUGAUUGUGGGAUAGUCCAAUUGGAACUGCAAGUGGUACUUCCAAAGUCUUAGAAGCAAUCCAUGACAAAUGGCAUUUCGGCGGGGAAGGUACGCGAGCGACAAAAAAAUGGAAAAAAUGUGGUAGAUUGAUUGCCCGACAUGCGCCAUUUGAUAGAAUCGUAGUCGACGUGGCAGGGCUAUUCCUAAUGACAGACUUCGAUAGCCGGUACAUCUUGGUCGGCAGAAGCUUCGCGUCAGUUUUAUUCUGGAAGGCCGACUGAACUUAUGGGUGCUACUAAACAAAUUUGAAGUGCUCGGAAGAUUAUGGAAAUUCCAUCAAGGAACAGCGCACUAUCUCUCCAGCGUAUUUACUUAUAUGUUUCAAACGUCACGGACCGAAUUGGCAGAAUCCUAAAGAGACUAUAGAGAUUUAAAAACAUCCAGAAAACUUCAACGAGAAGGAGGAUACCCUCAAACUCAACCAGAUCUGGAAUCCGAUCUAGCGGAACACUCGAACGUGAUCCACUGCCAUACCACGAUUGACUGAUCUGGAACAAGUCCUGCUACCCGGUAUAAAAACAAUUUGCGCAGGAAAAAUCACCACUUUGCUUUUUAGCGCUAGUGUCCACCCAUCAGUUCAGAGGUGGACCAUCUACAUCGACGGUUUCCUUCUACAAUACGGCAGGUCUUUGUGACAUGAUACUAAUUUAUGGGUAAUGUGAGUACAGUGUUAAUUUAACGGUCGAAUCAUACUGUGAUACAGAAAUCAAAAGAAACCAGCAGUACAUUUGGUAGACGUAUCGAAGCUUGUCCUUUAGCACGGGAUUCGAAUUUCAAAUAAUUUUUAAAGUGUUCGUACGUAUGUGUGUGUGUUUACCGCUGUUUAUUAUUUUUCUUUUAUUUUUAUUUAACCAUAGUGUUGUCUUUCUUUAUUUUUAUUUAAAGUUCGCGCCCGUUUUGCAAUUCGAUGCGAAAAAAAUGACAAUCAGAUGUAUUCUGUUGCCUCCUCUCAUCGGUAUUAAGACUUAACUGAGUCUGAGUUUUGCGUCGUUUUCUGCGCAUGUACUUAUUUAAGUCAUAUUUAUGGCAUUAAAGAGUAUAUUUCUUUUAUGUGCAUAUGAGUGUGCGCGCGCGUGUAGUGUGUGUGUGUGUGUGUGUGGUGGGAGUGAU